RNAcentral lists this ribosomal RNA (253 nucleotides) under uncultured bacterium. Its description in RNAcentral is "partial 16S ribosomal RNA". It matches the Rfam family "Bacterial small subunit ribosomal RNA", at positions 524 to 776 of the family's 1533-position model. The record is from RNAcentral.
UACGUAGGGGGCAAGCGUUGUUCGGAAUUACUGGGCGUAAAGGGCGCGUAGGCGGCACUGUUAGUCAGGCGUGAAAGUCCUGGGCUCAACCUGGGAACUGCGCUUGAUACGGCAGAGCUAGAGGAUGGAAGAGGGUCGCGGAAUUCCCAGUGUAGAGGUGAAAUUCGUAGAUAUUGGGAAGAACACCGAUGGCGAAGGCAGCCAUCUGGACCGACACUGACGCUGAGGCGCGAAAGCGUGGGGAGCAAACAGG